CUGGCCUGUCAUGCGCUCACCCUGUGCCUAUAAAAGCCUCAAGACCCUAGCGGGCAGGGACACAAGCUGCUGGAUAUCGAGAGGAAUACAUCCGCGGAAGAAGAUGCAAGCAGCUGGACGUCAAGAGGACGUCGAGGGGAGCAAACCAGUGGAAGAGCACACGACGCUGGCACACCGGCAGGCCAUCAGAGUUCGGCCGGGGUAGUCGGAGGAGAGCCCUGGUGCUGAGUGGCUCAACUCCAGGGGAAAACCAUCUCCCUUCUGGCUUCACCAUCUGCUGAGAGCUACUUCCACUCAAUAAAACCUUGCACUCAUUCUCCAAGCCCACAUGUGAACUGAUUUUUCCAGUACACCAACGCAAGAAACCUCAGGAUACAGAAAGCCCUCUGUCCUUCCAAUAAGGCAGGGGGUUCUAAUUGAGCUAACACAAGGCACCUACGGAUGCCUAAAUUAAAGAGCAAACUUGUAACACACGCCCACUAGAGCUUCAGCUGCAAACCGCUAGACACUGCCGUGGGGUCAGAGCCCCACAGCCUGCCGGUCUGUAUGCUCCCCUAGAGGUUUGAGCAGCUGGGCAAUGAAGAGGUGAGCUACAACUCCCAGUGCACACCCUGCGAGGGGGACAAGGGAACUUUUCCUGUUUUAGAAAUACCAAAGCACAAUCAACCCAUCAAACGAAAAAAACAACAACAGCCUAAAAGACAAGGUUGAUGUGGAGGAGAAAAAAAAGGUCUCGCUCUGCCACCCAGGCUAGGAGUGCAGUAGAGUGACUACAGUUCACAGCAGACUCAACCUUCCAGGCUCAAGCAAUCCUCUCACCUCGGCCUCCCAAGUACCUGGGACUACAGGCACACUCCACCAUUCCCAGCUAAUUUUUGUAUUUUUUGUAGAGACAUGGUUUUGACAUAUUGUCCAGGCUGGUCUUUUACUGUCAAAUUGCUAUAUUUUAUUGCUUUUGUUUUUGAAUAUUUUUGAUCCAUGAUUGAGUCCAUGAACAUGGAACCUGUGGACAUGGAGGCCCAACAAUAGUACUUAAUGUCUUUCUAACACAGCUACCUUAUGAACUCUGGAAAAAAUUGUAUGCCAGCCAAAGCAGUGGAACAACCAUAUUCUACUCACUGGAUUGUCCUCAACUGUUCAACAAUACCUCCCAAACUUGUUCCUGACUUCCGCCCAACAUGCAAUGACUCCAUUCUCAUUGUGCUCUUACCUGUUUCACUUAGUUGGAUUAUUUCUGUUCAAAAAUAUGUUUGAUUUUUAAAACUCAGGCUUUCACAGCUUUUAAAAGUUGUAUAAACCACUGUAUUUGUUUGAUAGAUGUGGGUGAAUUUGGCUUCCUACAAAGCAAUAACAAAUCAUCCACAUAGGAAAGUUACCAUUUCUGCAGAUGGAAAAAUGUGUACCUUGCUUCUCAUAUCAUUGUUUUCAUUUUGCAAGAUAUGAAUUUCUUGAAUAGUGGUAUCACCUACAAUUACUUAAAAAAUUAAAAUAAUUUAGGGCACCUUAGCUUGAUAGCUUUCUAAAGAUAUAAACAAGUUAUUUGGUUUAAUGAGGGGAAAAAAAUUGGUCUAAAGGAAAAUGGACUGACAGCUUUGUUACAUACUAAAAAUCAACCAAUAACUGUCUUUUAAUGUUGUUGGUGAUAGUUGUUUUGUUUUUUAAGCAGGAAACACACAGAUGUACUCUAAAAAUCAUUCUUAGUAGAAGUCUUUAAUAUCAUUUUACUUAUAGAUACUAAGUAUAAAUCUUCCACUUAAUCUGUGUUAAAAUAUGAUAUUCUUUUAUUUGUCAGUUAAUAGUUUGUAAGGACCAGAAAGUAACCAUUUCUAUAAAGCAGUUCUCUAGACAAGGUAAAAUGGUAAACCACCAUUAGAUGCUUUUUCUCCUUCUUCUCUGUCACGUGAUAUUAAAAAAGACUGGCCUGGGCAUGGUGACUCAUGCCUGUAAUCCCAGUAAUUUGGGAGUCCAAGGCUUUCAGAUCACCUGAGGUCAGGAGUUCGAGACCAGUCUGACCAACACGGAGAAACCCCAUCUCUACUAAAAAUACACAAUUAGCCGAGUGUGAUGGCGCAUGCCUGUAAUCCCAGCUACUCAGGAGGCUAUGGCAGGAGAAUCACUUGAACCCGGGAGGUGGAGGUUGCAGUGAACCGAGAUCAUGCCAUUGUACUCCAGCCUGGGCAACAAGAGCGAAACUCCAUCACCAAAAAAUAAAAUAAAAUAAAAAAUAUCCCAAUAACAGGGUUUUCUUGGGGCAUGUACCAUUGUGCUAAAUCUUCCAUUGAUGAACAUAUUGCAAUCUUUCCAUUGUUGCUUCACUUCUCAGCUUUUUAUGCAGAUAUAUUUUUAAAAUUAUCAGCAGACAAAACAUGUCUCAUCCUUUUCCUCUUUAUUCAUAUUCUUUUCAUUUGCCAUUUUUCAGUAUUUAGAGUAUGCUGCCCACGAGUCCCACGUUAUAGACUGGCUCACUGAAAGACUCAAACACUUCCUUCAGUCAAAUAUUCCCAACUGUUAUUUCUAACAAUUCCUUGUUCCUUGGUAGCUUUAUUAUGUUGGGCUUUUGUUUUCAAAUUCUGCAUAUUGAUUUAUAACUAGCUGUUAUUUCUAGCUGUGUGAUCUUAAACCAGUCACAUGAAUUCCCUGGGUUCUAAUUCUCUUAUCUGUAAAAUGAGCAAACUAUGAGAAUUCAUCUGUGUUGUUAUGAAAAUAAAAUAAGCUAUUGCUAACAAAACUCUUAAAAUAGUGCCUGGCCACGGUGGCUCGUGUCUGUAAUCCCAGCACUUUAGGAGGCCAAGGUGGGGGGAUCACGAGGUCAAGACAUCGAGACCAUCCUGGCCAACAUGGUGAAACGCCGUCUCUACUAAAAAUACAAAAAUUAGCUGGGUGUGGAGGUGGGCACCUGUAGUCCCAUCUACUUGGCAGGCUGAGGCAGGAGAAUAGCUUGAACCCGGGAGGUGGAGGUUGCAAUGAACUGAGAUCCUACCACUGCACUCCAGCCUGGUAACAGAGCAAGGCUCUGUCUCAAACAAACAAACAAACAAAAAGUGCCUAGCACAUAGUGUUCAAUAAAUGUUAAUGAUUACUAUGGAGAUCAAUACAUGUAAUAAUAUUUAGUUUUCCAAUUCAACCUUCCUACUAAUGCAGCCCUUUCCAUUUCUGACUUUGAAAAUAAAAAUGCUUUCAAUAAUACAAAAAACGCAUUUAACAAUUUUACUUACAAAACAUUUUUGCACAUAACAUUUCAGUAAGCUCCAUGAAGGUAGGGAUCUCUGGUUUCCUGUCUUGGUCGGUGUGGUAAGAUGCUUCUUGGUAACUACUGACUGAAUGAAAAACAGAAUAAUGUCAUUUUGCACUUACAUUUUACACUUGCACCCCUGAGUCUCAUGAAGAAAUAGUGAUAUAU
Molecule: long non-coding RNA, 3400 nt
Filed under: Homo sapiens (human)
Lineage: Eukaryota; Metazoa; Chordata; Mammalia; Primates; Hominidae
Description: HSALNT0019697
Source: RNAcentral